GACGAACGCUGGCGGCGUGCUUAACACAUGCAAGUCGAACGGUGAAGCGCCUUCCUUUUUGGUGGGUGUGGAUGAGUGGCGCACGGGUGAGUAACACGUGAGUAACCUGCCCCCUUCUUCUGGAUAACCGCAUGAAAGUGUGGCUAAUACGGGAUAUUCUGGGUCUGUCGCAUGAUGGGUCUGGGAAAGAUAUUGUUUCGGUGGGGGAUGGGCUCGCGGCCUAUCAGCUUGUUGGUGGGGUGAUGGCCUACCAAGGCGGUGACGGGUAGCCGGCCUGAGAGGGUGGACGGUCACACUGGGACUGAGACACGGCCCAGACUCCUACGGGAGGCAGCAGGGGGGAAUAGGGCACAAUGGGCGCAAGCCUGAUGCAGCGACGCCGCGUGAGGGAUGGAGGCCGUCGGGUUGUGAACCUCUUUCGCCAGUGAAGCAGGCCUGCCUCGUUUGUGGGUGGGUUGACGGUAGCUGGAUAAGAAGCGCCGGCUAACUACGUG
Molecule: ribosomal RNA, 494 nt
Filed under: uncultured bacterium
Lineage: Bacteria
Description: partial 16S ribosomal RNA
Rfam family: Bacterial small subunit ribosomal RNA
Source: RNAcentral